AUUGAACGCUGGCGGCAUGCUUUACACAUGCAAGUCGAACGGCAGCGCGGGCUUCGGCCUGGCGGCGAGUGGCGAACGGGUGAGUAAUGCAUCGGAACGUGCCCAGUAGUGGGGGAUAGCCCGGCGAAAGCCGGAUUAAUACCGCAUACGACCUGAGGGUGAAGGCGGGGGACCGUAAGGCCUCGCGCUAUUGGAGCGGCCGAUGUCGGAUUAGCUAGUUGGUGGGGUAAAGGCUUACCAAGGCGACGAUCCGUAGCUGGUCUGAGAGGACGACCAGCCACACUGGGACUGAGACACGGCCCAGACUCCUACGGGAGGCAGCAGUGGGGAAUUUUGGACAAUGGGGGCAACCCUGAUCCAGCCAUGCCGCGUGCGGGAAGAAGGCCUUCGGGUUGUAAACCGCUUUUGUUCGGGAAGAAAUCCUCUGGGCUAAUACCCCGGGGGGAUGACGGUACCGGAAGAAUAAGCACCGGCUAACUACGUG
RNAcentral lists this ribosomal RNA (484 nucleotides) under uncultured bacterium. RNAcentral describes it as "partial 16S ribosomal RNA". It matches the Rfam family "Bacterial small subunit ribosomal RNA", at positions 28 to 507 of the family's 1533-position model. The record is from RNAcentral.